Molecule: unclassified non-coding RNA, 233 nt
Filed under: Hevea brasiliensis (rubber tree)
Lineage: Eukaryota; Viridiplantae; Streptophyta; Magnoliopsida; Malpighiales; Euphorbiaceae
Source: RNAcentral
GAGUUCCCGGCCAAGAGUUGCGGUGAAACGAGGUCUUCCGAUGAAGCGGGUGAUUAGCUCUUUCAGCUCCGGGAACUGUCUUGAUCGAAGCGCCGGCAGCACAGACCUUGCGGUCAGGUUCCGAUGUCUGAUCUUUCUUCCGUUUGGUUGCCGUGCCUGGCCUAGGUUUAGAUAAUGGGAUCUAAUCUUGUGAAAUCUGCGAACAAUUUCAGGAUGCUGCCCGAGAAUGACAG